Molecule: unclassified non-coding RNA, 345 nt
Filed under: soil metagenome
Description: partial contains 5.8S ribosomal RNA, internal transcribed spacer 2, and large subunit ribosomal RNA
Rfam family: 5.8S ribosomal RNA (bases 1-120)
Source: RNAcentral
GAUGAAGAACGCAGCGAAAUGCGAAAAGUAAUGUGAAUUGCAGAAUUCAGUGAAUCAUCGAGUCUUUGAACGCACAUUGCGCCCCCUGGUAUUCCGGGGGGCAUGCCUGUCCGAGCGUCAUUGCUGCCCUCAAGCACGGCUUGUGUGUUGGGCCUCCGUCCUCCUCCCGGGGGACGGGCCCGAAAGGCAGCGGCGGCACCGCGUCCGGUCCUCGAGCGUAUGGGGCUUCGUCACCCGCUCUUGUAGGCCCGGCCGGCGCUUGCCGACACAUCAAUCUUUUUUCCAGGUUGACCUCGGAUCAGGUAGGGAUACCCGCUGAACUUAAGCAUAUCAAUAAGCGGAGGA